UUAACUCUGGACUUAAUAAAGCACAGUGGACCAAUACUGGCAGAUGACAUGGCUUCCCAAAUCAACACAGACUGUGGAAACUUCAUGCAUCAUUUAAG
Molecule: long non-coding RNA, 98 nt
Organism: Melanotaenia boesemani (Boeseman's rainbowfish)
Lineage: Eukaryota; Metazoa; Chordata; Actinopteri; Atheriniformes; Melanotaeniidae
Exons: 3
Source: RefSeq, a predicted model, not a curated record